This 379-nucleotide unclassified non-coding RNA is filed under the name uncultured Gemmatimonadota bacterium. Its description in RNAcentral is "uncultured Gemmatimonadetes bacterium contains 16S-23S intergenic spacer region". The record is from RNAcentral. Lineage: Bacteria; Pseudomonadati; Gemmatimonadota.
UCCGGUUUGUCACCGGCAGUCUCUGCAGAGUCCUCGGCUUUACCCGUUAGCAACAGCAGAUAAGGGUUGCGCUCGUUGCGGGACUUAACCCAACAUCUCACGACACGAGCUGACGACAGCCAUGCAGCACCUGUCUACGAACUCCGAAGAGGGCCUCGGCUUUCACCGAGGUUUCUCGUAGAUGUCAAGCCCAGGUAAGGUUCUUCGCGUUGCUUCGAAUUAAGCCACAUGCUCCACCGCUUGUGCGGGCCCCCGUCAAUUCCUUUGAGUUUCAUCCUUGCGAACGUACUCCCCAGGUGGGAUGCUUACCGCGUUAGCUUGGGCACUGCGCCUAUGAAUGGCGCAACGCCUAGCACCCAACGUUUACGGCUAGGACUAC